Echinostoma caproni is the source of this 45-nucleotide non-coding RNA. The record is from Rfam. Lineage: Eukaryota; Metazoa; Platyhelminthes; Trematoda; Plagiorchiida; Echinostomatidae.
CCAUUGCUGUCGAGUCCCAAACAGGAGGAAACAGCUGUCCAAUGC